GAACGCGAAGAACCUUACCAGGUCUUGACAUCCUGCGCUACACCUAGAGAUAGGUGGUUCCCUUCGGGGACGCAGAGACAGGUGGUGCAUGGCUGUCGUCAGCUCGUGUCGUGAGAUGUCGGGUUAAGUCCCGCAACGAGCGCAACCCUUGUCUUUAGUUGCCAUCAUUAAGUUGGGCACUCUAAAGAGACUGCCGGUGACAAACCGGAGGAAGGUGGGGAUGACGUCAAAUCAGCACGGCCCUUACGUCCGGGGCUACACACGUGUUACAAUGGGGGGUACAGAAGGUCGCUACCUGGUGACAGGAUGCUAAUCUCCAAAACCUCUCUCAGUUCGGAUUGGAGUCUGCAACCCGACUCCAUGAAGCUGGAUUCGCUAGUAAUCGCGCAUCAGCAUGGCGCGGUGAAUACGUUCCCGGGUCUUGUACACACC
This 432-nucleotide ribosomal RNA is filed under the name uncultured bacterium. Its description in RNAcentral is "bacterial SSU rRNA". It matches the Rfam family "Bacterial small subunit ribosomal RNA", at positions 957 to 1391 of the family's 1533-position model. The record is from RNAcentral.